RNAcentral lists this long non-coding RNA (972 nucleotides) under Marmota monax (woodchuck). Lineage: Eukaryota; Metazoa; Chordata; Mammalia; Rodentia; Sciuridae. The record is from RNAcentral.
CUCACUCAGCCCAUCCAGAGCUGUAGGAGCUGAGCAAGGACUGUGGGCUCAUCUGCUACGACGCCUCACGGAAGAGAUAAAGACAGAAGGCUCCGAGAGAGGCAGCGACACCUCGCCUGAGGUCCCCUGCCUGUCUCUCUUCACCACAACAGUCACAGUGUUGACAAAUGAAGAUACUGAGGUACAGGGAAACUGCUCCAGUCCUUCCAGUCCGGAGCCACCUGAUCUGGGCCCCAAAUCCCUGUCCUGCUGGGAUGCCCCAAGGUGGCGGUGAAGCUAUCUCUGGCAGCCCAGAGCCCUGCCUGGCACACUGGCGCAGGGCAAAAGCAUGGAUGACAUGACAGCCUGAAAGCUCCUAAGGAGCAGAACUGGGCUGAGCUACUAGCCUGUUUCCUCACCCAGUUCUGGAGGCUGCACAGAGCUGGGAGGGACCCAUUUCCGGAGAGCAGCUCUCCCUUGGGUGUGGGCUCAUGUGUACCCAGGUCCCUAGUUGGGCCCUGCUUGUUUCUGAGACAGCCUGAGCCCCAAGCAGGGGAGGGAGUGUGGCCUGUGGGAAGGGAAAGCUUAGCUGAGUCCCAGUGCUGUGGCCAACACACCGAGUGCCCUGAAUCGUACCUCACCCCUCUGUGCCUCAGUUUCCUUGCCCAUAUAAGGGGCAAGACAGCAAAGCCUAAGGUCCCUUCCAGUGACGACAUGCUAUGAUCUGGGUGGGCAGUGGGGGAGGGGCUCUCCUGUCUUUUCCCCUUCCUUGCUUUGCUGUCUUUCUGUGGCAUCUGCUUAUCUCUCCAGCUCUCCAGGUAUCUCAGUCUCAAGUCUGUGGCUUUGUUUCUAUCCUUUGCCCGCGUAUUCUCCUACCUGCCUCUUCUUUUUCUGGGUCUGCGUGUCUACCUCUGGUUUUGCCUCCUCGGUCACACACACCCCUUCCCUGCGUCUCCCCCUCUCUCUGUAGUUAUCUGUGUUUCCCGGUCUAGU